AUUGAACGCUGGCGGCAGGCUUAACACAUGCAAGUCGAGCGGGGGAAGGUAGCUUGCUACCGGACCUAGCGGCGGACGGGUGAGUAAUGCUUAGGAAUCUGCCUAUUAGUGGGGGACAACAUCUCGAAAGGGAUGCUAAUACCGCAUACGUCCUACGGGAGAAAGCAGGGGAUCUUCGGACCUUGCGCUAAUAGAUGAGCCUAAGUCGGAUUAGGUAGUUGGUGGGGUAAAGGCCUACCAAGGCGACGAUCUGUAGCGGGUCUGAGAGGAUGAUCCGGCACACUGGGACUGAGACACGGCCCAGACUCCUGCGGGGGGCAGCAGUGGGGAAUAUUGGACAAUGGGGGGAACCCUGAUCCAGCCAUGCCGCGUGUGUGAAGAAGGCCUUAUGGUUGUAAAGCACUUUAAGCGAGGAGGAGGCUACUUUAGUUAAUACCUAGAGAUAGUGGACGUUACUCGCAGAAUAAGCACCGGCUAACUCUGUGCCAGCCGCCGCGGUAA
Molecule: ribosomal RNA, 501 nt
Filed under: uncultured bacterium
Lineage: Bacteria
Description: partial 16S ribosomal RNA
Rfam family: Bacterial small subunit ribosomal RNA
Source: RNAcentral